This 378-nucleotide ribosomal RNA is filed under the name uncultured bacterium. RNAcentral describes it as "partial 16S ribosomal RNA". It matches the Rfam family "Bacterial small subunit ribosomal RNA", at positions 338 to 733 of the family's 1533-position model. The record is from RNAcentral.
CCUACGGGUGGCUGCAGUGGGGAAUAUUGCACAAUGGGGGAAACCCUGAUGCAGCGACGCCGCGUGAGUGAAGAAGUAAUUCGGUAUGUAAAGCUCCAUCAGCAGGGAAGAAAAUGACGGUACCUGAGUAAGAAGCGCCGGCUAACUACGUGCCAGCAGCCGCGGUAAUACGGAGGGGGCGAGCGUUAGCCGGAGUUACUGGGUGUAAAGGGAGCGUAGACGGCAGUGCAAGUCUGGCGUGAAAGGCGGGGGCUCAACCCGCGGACUGCACUGGAAACUGGACGGCUGGAGUGCAGGAGAGGUAAGUGGAAUUCCGAGUGUAGCGGUGAAAUGCGUAGAGAUUAGGAGGAACACCAGUGGCGAAGGCAGCUUACUGGA